This 75-nucleotide transfer RNA is filed under the name Methanobacteriota archaeon. RNAcentral describes it as "Euryarchaeota archaeon tRNA-Pro". It matches the Rfam family "tRNA". Rfam says of the family: Transfer RNA (tRNA) molecules are approximately 80 nucleotides in length. Their secondary structure includes four short double-helical elements and three loops (D, anti-codon, and T loops). Further hydrogen bonds mediate the characteristic L-shaped molecular structure. tRNAs have two regions of fundamental functional importance: the anti-codon, which is responsible for specific mRNA codon recognition, and the 3' end, to which the tRNAs corresponding amino acid is attached (by aminoacyl-tRNA synthetases). tRNAs cope with the degeneracy of the genetic code in two manners: having more than one tRNA (with a specific anti-codon) for a particular amino acid; and 'wobble' base-pairing, i.e. permitting non-standard base-pairing at the 3rd anti-codon position. Lineage: Archaea; Methanobacteriati; Methanobacteriota. The record is from RNAcentral.
GGGCCUGUAGGGUAGCUUGGUCAAUCCUAGUGGCUUUGGGAGCCAUUGACUCCGGUUCAAAUCCGGGCAGGCCCA